RNAcentral lists this ribosomal RNA (497 nucleotides) under uncultured bacterium. RNAcentral describes it as "partial 16S ribosomal RNA". It matches the Rfam family "Bacterial small subunit ribosomal RNA", at positions 28 to 523 of the family's 1533-position model. The record is from RNAcentral.
GAUGAACGCUAGCGGCAGGCCUAAUACAUGCAAGUCGGACGGGAUUUGGGAGCUUGCUCCUGAUGAGAGUGGCGCACGGGUGCGUAACACGUAUGUAACCUACCUUAACCAGGGGGAUAGCCUCUCGAAAGAGAGAUUAACACCGCAUAAAAUAAUGAACUGGCAUCUGUUUAUUAUCAAAUAUUUAUAGGGUUAAGAUGGGCAUGCGGAACAUUAGCUAGUUGGUAAGGUAAUGGCUUACCAAGGCUACGAUGUUUAGGGGAUCUGAGAGGAUGGCCCCCCACACUGGUACUGAGACACGGACCAGACUCCUACGGGAGGCAGCAGUAAGGAAUAUUGGUCAAUGGGCGGAAGCCUGAACCAGCCAUGCCGCGUGCAGGAAGACGGCCCUAUGGUUGUAAACUGCUUUUGUACCGGAAUAAACCUUUGGUCGUGACCGAAGCUGAAUGUACGGUAAGAAUAAGGAUCGGCUAACUCCGUGCCAGCAGCCGCCGUAA